CCUUCGGGUUGUAAACUGCUUUUGUCAGGGAAGAAAUCCUUUGGGCUAAUACCUCGGAGGGAUGACGGUACCUGAAGAAUAAGCACCGGCUAACUACGUGCCAGCAGCCGCGGUAAUACGUAGGGUGCGAGCGUUAAUCGGAAUUACUGGGCGUAAAGCGUGCGCAGGCGGCUUUGCAAGACAGAGGUGAAAUCCCCGGGCUCAACCUGGGAACUGCCUUUGUGACUGCAAGGCUAGAGUACGGCAGAGGGGGAUGGAAUUCCGCGUGUAGCAGUGAAAUGCGUAGAUAUGCGGAGGAACACCGAUGGCGAAGGCAAUCCCCUGGGCCUGUACUGACGCUCAUGCACGAAGCGUGGGGAGCAAACAGGAUUAGAUACCCUGGUAGUCCACGCCCUAAACGAUGUCAACUGGUUGUUGGACGGCUUGCUGUUCAGUAACGAAGCUAACGCGUGAAGUUGACCGCCUGGGGAGUACGGCCGCAAGGUUGAACUC
Molecule: ribosomal RNA, 492 nt
Filed under: Aquabacterium sp.
Lineage: Bacteria; Pseudomonadati; Pseudomonadota; Betaproteobacteria; Burkholderiales; Sphaerotilaceae
Description: bacterial SSU rRNA
Rfam family: Bacterial small subunit ribosomal RNA
Source: RNAcentral